This 91-nucleotide small nucleolar RNA is filed under the name Scedosporium apiospermum. RNAcentral's name for it is "A. fumigatus snoRNA Afu_190". It matches the Rfam family "A. fumigatus snoRNA Afu_190". Lineage: Eukaryota; Fungi; Ascomycota; Sordariomycetes; Microascales; Microascaceae. The record is from Rfam by way of RNAcentral.
AUAUGAUGAGCUUUCAGCUGGCACCAGUCUGAGGAUGACUUGUACUCCCCUCAUUGAUGACAAACGCUGCGGUCUUUUGACCAAUUCUGAC